This 277-nucleotide unclassified non-coding RNA is filed under the name Cercozoa sp. RNAcentral's name for it is "partial contains small subunit ribosomal RNA, internal transcribed spacer 1, and 5.8S ribosomal RNA". The stretch from base 1 to 47 matches the Rfam family "Eukaryotic small subunit ribosomal RNA", at positions 1785 to 1831 of the family's 1831-position model. Lineage: Eukaryota; Cercozoa. The record is from RNAcentral.
AAAGUCGUAACAAGGUUUCCGUAGGUGAACCUGCGGAAGGAUCAUUAACACGUAUCCACGUACCACUAGUAAACCCAACUGUGUGAACUGAGAACUAAGGUCGCGGGAGCUCGGACCUAAAACGAGCUUCACUCUUGUCAUUUUUCACCCCUUUUUGAAUUUUCUUGACUGAAACCGAGAUCGGGAUCGGAAACGACCCGCCAUCUCUUCGCUCGGUCCUAAAAAAACCGAAUCGAUAAACUCUUAACAACUCUUAGCAACGGAUAUCUUGGUUCUC